CCGACCACCGGCGCCGUGUCCCGUCAUUCGUGUGGCUUAUGUCGCUGUUCCCUUUGAAGUGCUUGCGUGCAGGUACCCGACCUACGGGAAGUGGUGCUUYCUAAACGUUGCCUCGCGGUGCAUGCCUUCCGGUGUGCCACUGCGGCCAAAUGGUGCUUGCGGCGUUGCCUCGUGGUGCUGUUGCUCUUUACGUGCACGGUGCUAUCAAUGCAGCCUCGCCCGCGCUCUUGGUUUUGGAUGCUGCUCACGAUAAAGGCUAAUGGCCCUUCUGGUUGCCAUUACCCGACCCUUCAGAAGCUCUCCGAAUUUUGAGAACAACCGUGAACAGGUGUUGCCUCUACCUCUCCACAGUUAGUGGUAGGAUUACUUAACAUUCUGCUCCGAUCCUCAAAGUAGUAGGACGAGCUUGGCCCGCACAAUUGUGACAACCGACCCGGGCGUUGUUUCGCACUGCGACGCAAGUUGCGGGGUGGACGACAACCGACGCCGGACGUCAACGAGGACGUGCUACCUGGUUGAUCCUGCCAGUAGUC
This 533-nucleotide unclassified non-coding RNA is filed under the name Helictochloa bromoides. RNAcentral's name for it is "contains 3' external transcribed spacer, ETS". Lineage: Eukaryota; Viridiplantae; Streptophyta; Magnoliopsida; Poales; Poaceae. The record is from RNAcentral.